Molecule: ribosomal RNA, 497 nt
Filed under: uncultured bacterium
Lineage: Bacteria
Description: partial 16S ribosomal RNA
Rfam family: Bacterial small subunit ribosomal RNA
Source: RNAcentral
GAUGAACGCUGGCGUCGUGCCUAAUACAUGCAAGUCGAGCGAACGGACGAGAAGCUUGCUUUUCUGAUGUUAGCGGCGGACGGGUGAGUAACACGUGGAUAACCUACCUAUAAGACUGGGAUAACUUCGGGAAACCGGAGCUAAUACCGGAUAAUAUUUUGAACCGCAUGGUUCAAAAGUGAAAGACGGUCUUGCUGUCACUUAUAGAUGGAUCCGCGCUGCAUUAGCUAGUUGGUAAGGUAACGGCUUACCAAGGCAACGAUGCAUAGCCGACCUGAGAGGGUGAUCGGCCACACUGGAACUGAGACACGGUCCAGACUCCUACGGGAGGCAGCAGUAGGGAAUCUUCCGCAAUGGGCGAAAGCCUGACGGAGCAACGCCGCGUGAGUGAUGAAGGUCUUCGGAUCGUAAAACUCUGUUAUUAGGGAAGAACAUAUGUGUAAGUAACUGUGCACAUCUUGACGGUACCUAAUCAGAAAGCCACGGCUAACUACGUG